AGCCGUUCACACCGGCGCAGGAGCUGCUCAACUCAACUGCUUUUUUUCUCGUGUUCACACCGUCCUCUGCGCGCGCGAUGACCUGUGAAUGCUAGAUCCUCGCGGCUUUUUUCUAGAUGGUUCUCGUCGGGCUAUUCGUCCUCGCGAGAUCCGCGCGGCGGCGGCAGGGCGGAGGCGCCUCGCGCGGCGUCCGGGCCGCGGUGGAGGCGGAGGCGGUGCGGCGGCGACGGAACUCCCCAUCCUCCUCCUUCCAUCUCGGCGCGUGUGCGGCAGUGCGGCGGCGGCAGAGCACAACAACCGCGGCGGUGCGGAGGCGAGCGAAUCCAGGAGAUUGAAGGGCACCAUUCUUUGAUGUUCGAAUGUUUGAUUCCUUACAGGGAAGAACACAAUAAGUUUUUGCAUAGGCCUUCCUGUUUCUGAGUACUAAAAGUAUGGACCCCAAAUAUUGCUGGUUUAUCACAGCUCUCCUCCUCUUCGUUUCUUGCCAAAAAGCAGCAGCAAUCAGAGAGCAGAAGAAGGGGCGAGCCUGCUUAGAUCUGCAGCAAAAGAGGCACCACAGCAUGCUAAGUUCAUCACCGUUAUGGAAGACGAAGCCUUUGCCUCCACAUCACAAAGCAGUCAUGCCUAGCUUACAGAUGCAUUUCAGAAAAACACCCUUCUGCACACUUGCUUAAAUACGCUUAUUGUAGGUAUCCUCUCUUUAAUUUCUACUCAGAACAUACUUUUAUUUGACCUCUUAUUAGGCAGGCUUAGAAAAAAUGUCCUACUAACACUUGCUCUUAGAUCAAUGUAAGCUUAAGAAAUAUUAACUGUGCUAUAAAUCAGGAUCACAAAAAAACCCCUAUUACACAAUUGAUUAAGUGCACUUAUCUUAGGCAUUACCUCUUUAAUUUCCAUCCGCAACUCACUUUUACUUCGCCUCCUGUUAGGCAAGCUAGAAAAACUUGGACUGCCCGCACUUGCUUUUCCAGCAAUGUCAUCUUAGGAAAGCUUGGUUAUACUAUGAAUGGAGUUCAGAAAAGCACCAUACUGUACACUUACACUUAUGCUAGGUAUCUCUUUUAAAUUCCCAUUCACAACUCACUUUUAUUUGACCUCUUACUAUGCAGCCUUACAAAAAAAAUGGACCCUACCCACACUUGAGAUUUGACCAAUGUCCACUUGCUGCUACUAAAUUAAUUAUUUCGCAUUGCCAACGGUAUUGCUACAAUCUUCUUUACUGAAAAUUUAGCUACAAGGAUUUAUUCUUCCUUCAUAUUUACAAUAUAUCUACAGCUGUAGCCUUCAAUGCCCCAAUGCUUAGGACAGAAUUACUAUAUAGCCACCCCCUUUUGGAAAUAUUCAUUUUACUUAUUUACCCAGCUACUACAGUCUUUCUGACCCACUUAGAAUUUACAAUCUAACUAUCUAUUACAUUUAUACAGCCCAAUUGGAGCUACCAAAUGAUAUUACAUUUAUACAGGCCAAUUUGAGCAACCAAAUGAUACAGGUCAACACCAGAUCCUAUGAGAACCCAAAAGUAGCAAGAUCAACUGAAGCUCCACUAGCUAGCCAUCAAACAAGCUACGGUACGCGCACAGUCAUUCCUCAAUGGCUGACAAGUUGGCUUUCCCUAAUCUCUCCUCCUCCGUUGUUGCCUUUUAGAAUUUUACCACUGUUUAGAUGGAAGUUUUGAUGCUCCCUGUGGAUAUUUGAUUUAUCAUAGCGCCAACUCAUGAAAGGAAUCCUCAUGCUAUUACUUUUUCUCCUGAACAAACUAAUUAAGUUGGUCUAUUAGGUUCUUAGAUUUGCUGUCACUAAACAGUAUGUAUAUCUCUUGCAGGUCAUUCCGACUUCGUUUAAAUAUUUUCUCUAUUUUGAAUAUUGAUAUUUGCACCUGUUUCAAUGAUCCUGAGCUAUCCAUGUCUUGAAGGCAUAUGAUACAAUGACAGUAAACUGAGUGGGUUACAUUAGUAUCUAGAUAAAAAAUGUGGUUCCUAUCUAUUCUAGGCAAUAAUAUUGAAUGGUAUGUUUUAAUUAAACACUCAAAAUACAGAGUAAACAUGCUACUGAUUGAGUAGAUGGCAGCAACAUUGCUUUGCCUGUGAGAUAAUCUUUUAAUAUUAAUUAUAAUGCAACAAUGGUACUUUUACCUCUUAUGUCCGCAGGCCACCUAUUUUUCCUCCUGAUCUUCCAAGUUGGUAGCUUUGUUGUUCUACAAGCUGACACUGAUAAGGAUGCAAGAAAGACAAUGCCUGAUGCCUGUUGUUGAUAAUCUAAGUUCGAUAUAAUGUGCUUUCUCUAAUGCUCCUGCUGUCUAUUUUAUAUUACAGAAGGAUGAAUAUUCUGCACUCUAAGUUGGGCUCCAGAUCAUGUUAAUGGCUCACCGCUGCCGGUAGCAGCAUCAAACAAUAGGAUCAUUCGGUCCAUCAAUUAUUACAUCCUGGAGCUUGUGAAUCUGAAUUUUUUUUCCUUGUGUUUAUACAUAGAUUGGACCUUGACAGGACAUGAACAAGUACAUUUUGUUUUCUUCAUGUUCACAUUUCGAUCAAUGAAUAAGGAUAGUUGUUUUCUCUAUGUUCA
RNA transcript from Panicum virgatum (switchgrass), 2562 nucleotides. RefSeq lists it as uncharacterized. Lineage: Eukaryota; Viridiplantae; Streptophyta; Magnoliopsida; Poales; Poaceae. The transcript has 6 exons. The record is from RefSeq and is a predicted model, not a curated record.